This 341-nucleotide unclassified non-coding RNA is filed under the name soil metagenome. Its description in RNAcentral is "partial contains 5.8S ribosomal RNA, internal transcribed spacer 2, and large subunit ribosomal RNA". The stretch from base 1 to 120 matches the Rfam family "5.8S ribosomal RNA", at positions 35 to 154 of the family's 154-position model. The record is from RNAcentral.
GAUGAAGAACGUAGCGAAAUGCGAUAAGUAGUGUGAAUUGCAGAAUUCAGUGAAUCAUCGAAUCUUUGAACGCACAUUGCGCCCUUUGGUAUUCCAAAGGGCAUGCCUGUUCGAGCGUCAUUUGUACCCUCAAGCUUUGCUUGGUGUUGGGCGUCUUGUCUCUAGCUUUGCUGGAGACUCGCCUUAAAGUAGUUGGCAGCCGGCCUACUGGUUUCGGAGCGCAGCACAAGUCGCACUCUCUAUCAGCAGAGGUCUAGCAUCCAUUAAGCCUUUUUUUCAACUUUUGACCUCGGAUCAGGUAGGGAUACCCGCUGAACUUAAGCAUGUCAAUAAGCGGAGGA